UACGUAGGUGACAAGCGUUGUCCGGAUUUACUGGGCGUAAAGAGCGCGCAGGCGGUCGAUCAAGUCGAGUGUGAAAGCCCCCGGCUCAACUGGGGAGGGUCACGCGAUACUGAUCGACUCGAAGGCAGGAGAGGGAAGUGGAAUUCCCGGUGUAGUGGUGAAAUGCGUAGAUAUCGGGAGGAACACCAGUGGCGAAGGCGACUUCCUGGCCUGUUCUUGACGCUGAGGCGCGAAAGCUAGGGGAGCAAACGGG
This 253-nucleotide ribosomal RNA is filed under the name uncultured bacterium. RNAcentral's name for it is "partial 16S ribosomal RNA". It matches the Rfam family "Bacterial small subunit ribosomal RNA", at positions 524 to 776 of the family's 1533-position model. The record is from RNAcentral.